GACAAACGCUGGCGGGGUGCAUGAGACAUGCAAGUCGAACGGGGUUGAGCGGGCUUGCUCGAUCAACCUAGUGGCGGACGGCUGAGUAACGCGUAGGUGACCUACCCGGAAGUGGGGAAUAACUGCCCGAAAGGGUGGCUAAUACCGCAUGUGGUCGGCGAUUCACAUCGCCGCCCAAAGCCGUAAGGCGCUUCCGGAGAGGCCUGCGUCCGAUUAGCUAGUUGGUGGGGUAAUGGCNCACCAAGGCGACGAUCGGUAGCUGGUCUGAGAGGAUGAUCAGCCAGACUGGGACUGAGAACGGCCAGACUCCUACGGGAGGCAGCAGUCGGGAAUUUUGCCCAAUGGACGAAAGUCUGAGGCAGC
Molecule: ribosomal RNA, 363 nt
Filed under: uncultured bacterium
Lineage: Bacteria
Description: bacterial SSU rRNA
Rfam family: Bacterial small subunit ribosomal RNA
Source: RNAcentral